UGGGGUGAAGUCGUAACAAGGUAACCGUAGGGGAACCUGCGGUUGGAUCACCUCCUUACCUUAAAGAAGCG
This 71-nucleotide ribosomal RNA is filed under the name Escherichia coli. RNAcentral describes it as "partial 16S ribosomal RNA". The stretch from base 1 to 58 matches the Rfam family "Bacterial small subunit ribosomal RNA", at positions 1476 to 1533 of the family's 1533-position model. Lineage: Bacteria; Pseudomonadati; Pseudomonadota; Gammaproteobacteria; Enterobacterales; Enterobacteriaceae. The record is from RNAcentral. RNAcentral also lists the same sequence under 1 other name.